UAUGUGCACAAGAAAUUUAGUCAGCAAUAUAAGGCUACAAUUGGUGCCGAUUUCGUUACCAAAGAACUCCAGAUUGAUGACAGGCUUGUCACUCUGCAAAGUGGGUUUUCUAGCUCUAUUGAUUUUUUGUUUUCUGUUUCGGAAUCUUUGCAGAUGCUUCCUAAAAUACUGGUAUUUAUGCGUGUAGAUAUGGGACACGGCUGGGCAAGAAAGAUUUCAGUCACUUGGAGUUGCAUUUUAUAGAGGAGCAGAUUGCUGCGUUCUAGUUUAUGAUGUGAAUGUCAUGAGAUCAUUCGAUACUCUUGACAACUGGCACGAAG
This 320-nucleotide long non-coding RNA is filed under the name Populus tremula. Its description in RNAcentral is "long non-coding RNA (PTRE_LNC002314)". Lineage: Eukaryota; Viridiplantae; Streptophyta; Magnoliopsida; Malpighiales; Salicaceae. The record is from RNAcentral.